Molecule: ribosomal RNA, 484 nt
Filed under: uncultured bacterium
Lineage: Bacteria
Description: bacterial SSU rRNA
Rfam family: Bacterial small subunit ribosomal RNA
Source: RNAcentral
GAUGAACGCUGGCGGCGUGCUUAACACAUGCAAGUCGAACGAAGCACUUUAUUAUGAUUUCUUCGGAAUGACGAUUUAGUGACUGAGUGGCGGACGGGUGAGUAACGCGUGGGUAACCUGCCUUAUACAGGGGGAUAACAGUUAGAAAUGACUGCUAAUACCGCAUAAGCGCACAGGAUUGCAUGAUCUAGUGUGAAAAACUCCGGUGGUAUAAGAUGGACCCGCGUCUGAUUAGCUGGUUGGUGAGGUAACGGCCCACCAAGGCGACGAUCAGUAGCCGACCUGAGAGGGUGACCGGCCACAUUGGGACUGAGACACGGCCCAAACUCCUACGGGAGGCAGCAGUGGGGGAAUAUUGCACAAUGGGGGAAACCCUGAUGCAGCGACGCCGCGUGAGCGAAGAAGUAUUUCGGUAUGUAAAGCUCUAUCAGCAGGGAAGAUAAUGACGGUACCUGACUAAGAAGCACGGCUAAAUACGUGCCAG